Molecule: ribosomal RNA, 253 nt
Filed under: uncultured bacterium
Lineage: Bacteria
Description: partial 16S ribosomal RNA
Rfam family: Bacterial small subunit ribosomal RNA
Source: RNAcentral
UACGUAGGUGGCAAGCGUUGUCCGGAUUUAUUGGGUUUAAAGGGUGCGUAGGCGGCCUUGUAAGUCAGUGGUGAAAUACUCCAGCUUAACUGGAGGGGUGCCAAUGAUACUGCAGGGCUUGAGUACAGAUGAGGUAGGCGGAAUUGACGGUGUAGCGGUGAAAUGCAUAGAUAUCGUCAAGAACACCGAUAGCGAAGGCAGCUUACUGGGCUGUAACUGACGCUGAGGCACGAAAGCGAGGGGAGCAAACGGG